This 474-nucleotide long non-coding RNA is filed under the name Mytilus galloprovincialis (Mediterranean mussel). Lineage: Eukaryota; Metazoa; Mollusca; Bivalvia; Mytilida; Mytilidae. The record is from RNAcentral.
UCUUGUAAACUAGAGGCUCUAAAGAGCCUGUGUUGCUCACCUUGGUCUAUGUGAAUAUUAAACAAUGGACACAGAUAGAUUCAUGACAAAAUUGUGUUUUUGUGAUGGUGAUGUGUUUGUAGAUCUUACUUUACUAAACAUUCUUGCUGCUUACAAUUAUCUCUAUCUAUAACAGUACUUUCUGUGGAAAAUGUUAUUGAAAAUCUUCAAAUUUUAAGAAAAUUGUUAAAAAUUGACUAUGAAGAGCAAUAACUCCUUAGGGGGUCAAUUGACUAUUUUGGUCAUACUGACUUAUUUUUAGUUCUUACUUUGCUGUGCAUUAUUGCUGUUCACAGUUUAUCUCUAUCUAUAAUAAUAUUCAAGAUAAUAACAAAAAAACAGCAAAAUUUCCUCAAAAUUACCAAUUCAGGGGAGGCAACCUAACAACCGAUUAUCCGAUUCAUCUGAAAAUUCCAGGGCAGAUAGAUCGUGACA